AGGGGUAUAGCUCAAGUGGUAGAGCGCAUGCUUGAGGUCCUGGGUUCAAUCCCCAGUACUUCUC
Molecule: transfer RNA, 64 nt
Filed under: Camelus bactrianus (Bactrian camel)
Lineage: Eukaryota; Metazoa; Chordata; Mammalia; Artiodactyla; Camelidae
Also listed under: 2 other names
Rfam family: tRNA
About the family: Transfer RNA (tRNA) molecules are approximately 80 nucleotides in length. Their secondary structure includes four short double-helical elements and three loops (D, anti-codon, and T loops). Further hydrogen bonds mediate the characteristic L-shaped molecular structure. tRNAs have two regions of fundamental functional importance: the anti-codon, which is responsible for specific mRNA codon recognition, and the 3' end, to which the tRNAs corresponding amino acid is attached (by aminoacyl-tRNA synthetases). tRNAs cope with the degeneracy of the genetic code in two manners: having more than one tRNA (with a specific anti-codon) for a particular amino acid; and 'wobble' base-pairing, i.e. permitting non-standard base-pairing at the 3rd anti-codon position.
Source: Rfam by way of RNAcentral